GGACCCGUGGCGCAACGGUAGCGCAUCUGAUUCCAGCAAAUGGAAUGACGACGAGUCUCCAGAAGGUUAUCCGUUCAAGUCGGGUCGGGUUCA
Non-coding RNA from Trichodelitschia bisporula, 93 nucleotides. The record is from the annotation of a GenBank genome assembly. Lineage: Eukaryota; Fungi; Ascomycota; Dothideomycetes; Phaeotrichales; Phaeotrichaceae.